Molecule: transfer RNA, 72 nt
Filed under: Camelus dromedarius (Arabian camel)
Lineage: Eukaryota; Metazoa; Chordata; Mammalia; Artiodactyla; Camelidae
Also listed under: 1 other name
Rfam family: tRNA
About the family: Transfer RNA (tRNA) molecules are approximately 80 nucleotides in length. Their secondary structure includes four short double-helical elements and three loops (D, anti-codon, and T loops).
Source: Rfam by way of RNAcentral
GAGGGUGUAGCUCAGUGGUAGAGCACAUGCUUAGCAUGCAUGAGGUCCUGGGUUCAAUCCCCAAUACCUCCA